Helicoverpa armigera (cotton bollworm) is the source of this 582-nucleotide long non-coding RNA. RefSeq lists it as uncharacterized. The transcript has 4 exons. The record is from RefSeq and is a predicted model, not a curated record. Lineage: Eukaryota; Metazoa; Arthropoda; Insecta; Lepidoptera; Noctuidae.
AUUAUACAGAAUCUUAGUUCAUAUUUAUGCUUUGACCAGGUACGAUAACGUCAAUAGCGAUUAUUGAGAGGAUCAAUUUAAUACCUACGCAUUGAAAAAUCAUGAAAAGCUUCAUUCUCAUCACGCUAGCAGCAUUGUCAGUCUGCCUAAGCGUAGCUGAUCAGGAAUCGCAUACGUCAUCCGUAGGUAAACAGCAACCGGGAGAUUGGCUUAUGUUUCGUUUUGAAAAUACAGCCUACCCAAUACCGGAUUCGCGAAGACGGCACACUGUUCAGGUUCAAUUACCGUCAAGUGCUCAGGUUAACUACGUAACGUUCGAGGAUAAAGACCCCUCGUCAGGAGGCUUCGUUUCAUACAUAGGAGGAUUUGCAAACAACCACAUUACCGUUAUGAUACAAUCGCAGUGGGGUGGUGGAUUUGAUUUUGUGACUGAUAUAUGGGGACAGGAUCCAGAGUCAUCACAACCGGUGAAGUUAAUGAGCUCCGCGGUGCAAACAAAUUGUACUAUGACAGUGGACGAUGGAAAAACUAUCCAAACUUUUGACUGCAAUAUGAAUUUGCAUUAAAACACUGUUGUUUAUU